This is a long non-coding RNA of Mesocricetus auratus (golden hamster), 3557 nucleotides long. RefSeq lists it as uncharacterized. The transcript has 4 exons. Lineage: Eukaryota; Metazoa; Chordata; Mammalia; Rodentia; Cricetidae. The record is from RefSeq and is a predicted model, not a curated record.
CUGGUAGCCUCACCUAUAUUUCCUGCCUGGCUAAUGGCCAAUCAGCAUUUAUUCAUCAACCAAUAAGAGAAGCAUAUGUUUGUAGCAUACAGAAGGUCACACCCUAUCACAUCUCUCCGAGGGCUGGAAAGAUUGCUCAGUGCUUAAGGAGCACUUACUGCUAUGCCAUGGGACGCAGAGUCUGCUUCCAGCAGCUGUGUGCUGACUCGUGCCCACUUGUAACUCCGGUUGCAGGGGACCAAUGUCCUUGUCUGCCCUACACAGGCUCAACGUGUGCACAGUGAACAGACCUGCAUGCAGGCAAGCACUCACACACACAUAAAUAAAUAACUCCUUUGACAGCCAUUUGAUAUUGCCUCUUGCUUUUCAGAACUUCAGAAACGCUUCGUCAUUGUGCCACGCAAGAGGAAAAGAUGAAGACGGUGAGAACAGAAAGCCAGAGGACGUUGUAGGACAGUUUCCUGUGACCUGGAGAAGAUUUCUGGUUGUGUUUCAAAGACUUGUGCUGGUGGUGACUGCUCCUACCUUCUUACUAGCAGAGGUCCAAUGAUGAGAAAAAAAUGAGAAGAAUGAAUCAAAGAACCAGGGACCAUUUGUUCUCAGUGUUCUAAGCUGACUUCUGCCUCAAAGAAGAUGUCGGCGGACCUCGGAGGACACAGGGAGGCUGUGUAGGAGAUUUGAUGGUGGGAGCCGGUUGGUGAGCGUGGACCUGCCGUGUGCUGAGAGGACGGGGUAAGAGUCUACAGACCGGAGCAAAGCAAGGAAAGCAGAGCCUGCAGAAGGAACAGGGCCCAUCCCACGCUUCGUCUCAGCCCAGCAAGACUUCUGACCUGUGCGACUGCGAGAUAACAAAUGUGUUGUUUUAAACCGGAAAAGUCCGAGGCUGUUUGUUUUAAUGGGAACGAGAAACCAGCACAACAUUCCUUGAGAAUCUGAGGUCAUCUCAGCAUUGUGCUGAGGCUUCCAAAUUUUCCCCCGCCCCUUUCCCUUCUGCCCACGGACUUCAGGUUGUGGCGCGGUGCUGGUCGGCACAGGUACUGCUUUCCUGCUAAGGACCAUCCAGGCCUGGGGGUCAGUGGCACUUGUGGACAACCUUGACAAGUGCCACCUGCUGCUUGCCCCAAUAGGACCUCAUCUUCCAUGAUUUAUUUCUUCAGCUGGAUAGUUCUGACCUCCCACAGGCUGGCAGGGUGUGCGUCUACAGGGCCCCUGUGUUGUCUACGAUGGGCAGGAGUGAUGGACUAGACCAUCUACAUGCAGCAUGCUCAUUCACUAACUGAGUGCCUAUGGGAUGGUGGAAGUGAGUCUAAUGAGACCAAGACGCAAAAUAUUUGACUCAAUGUCAUUGUAAUUAAUUGAAGUGGAUUCAUUAAUUUUGUUAAAUUUUUAUUUUAUGCUUAUGGAUGCUUUGCCUGUGUGUAUGUCUCUAUACCGUAUGCAUGCAGUGCCUGAUGAAGCCAGAAGAGGGCAUCAGAUCCCUGAGACUAGAGUUACAGAAGGUUGUGAGCCACUGUGUGGGUGCUGGGAACUGAACCCUGGUCAUGGGCAAGAGCAGCCAGUACUAUUAACCUCUGAGAUGUCUCUCCAGGACCUAUAGGCAAUUUCAAAUACCCCAUUUGUGUUUAAUAGUUACCACAUUGAAUAGCAAAACUAAGUUUUUACUGAAGUGUGUUGAUAAUGACCAACUGAAAUAGCUACCAGAUGUCUAUUUCCUUAACGUCAAGUCAGCCGAUUUACUUUAAAUAUUACAUUGGAUAUGAGGCUGUCACCUACAAUUUUAAACUCUAAAGAGCUGCAUCCACAAUAGACAGGAGAGAACAGCCAGCCCUUAGCUACAAGGUCCCUGAGCACAGAACCUUUCCCUUAGGAACUCAUGAAAGCAAGUGCCCUCCACUAAAGGUGUAGCCUGCUGUGCCUCUGGGGUAUGACUAAGCCACACUUGUUAGGUCUGAAGAUAUGUCCUUUGUAUGGUCAUUUCCAGCACCCCAUAUCCUCUGCUCUAGAAUGUAGAGAAUGACUGGGCAUUGCUCAUGGCUGUAUCCCCAUGCUGUUUUCUGUGGUCAGUCUCCCAUGACCUUCUGGGGCAUAAUUUAAAAAAGAGUAAGUGGAAAGUCACUGGUUGCAUUAACUAAGUGAGAUGUAGUGGCUUUGCUAGGGGAACACAGCAUUAAGUAAGAUACAGUAGCAGUUUUCUACAAAACACAGCCUUAAGUGAAAUAACAGUAACAGUUUUCUAGGGGAACACAACAUUAAGUGAGAUACAGUAGGAGUUUGCUAGGGAAACACAGCUUUAAGUGAGGUAACAGUAACAGUUUUCUAGGGGAACACAGCAUUAACCAAGUGAGAUACAAUAGCAGCUUUGCUAGGGGAACACAGCCUGAGCCCAGACUAGACAGCCAGGUGAGCUGAGUGACAGCAGUGCAAGCUGACAUGGUCCCCAUGACAGUACCCAGAUGGCUUAUGGAAGACUGCUGCUCCCUCCCUCUCCUGCCCACCUGGCUUCAGGAUUUAAAUCAAAGCCACGUAGGGAAAGUGGCAUCACAAUGUUAAGUUUACAGGGUUCACAUCUGACACUUCUCUCAUAAACAGCUACAGAGACCAUUUGUAAAUGCAUUAUAUGGCAUUAAGAGGUUGUGUUGCUGGUCCUUCCAGGAGUCAGGUCAGAUGACGAAGAUGGCCUAAGAUUCCAGAGAGCUGUGGGCUCCUUUGCUCAUGAAAUAAGUGAAUAACUUUAAAAUGCAAGUGAAUUUAGUAGUAACAGAUCUAUAAGAUGCCAAACUCAUCCAGGUUCCUGAACACUUCUGAUUGUCAGGUGAAAUACGUAUUUAAGCUCCUGCUUUCCUGCCUCAGAGGCGCUUCUCGGAGGGUUCAGAAUGAUGUGUCUUUUUGCUCAUUAGUCAAUCGUUUGCCUGACAGAAAUUGAGGGCCUCAGGAUAGUCAUAACAUGGCUGUAACGCUGUUUGAGAGUGAAUUAAGUCAUUUUACCCUCAAGGGCAGAAAAAUAGCCUCUUACUAUUCUGCUUCAGGCAUCACCUUUCCCUGAACACAGUCUGCCUCCCAUCAGGGUCCCAGGCUGGAGUGGCAGAUGUAGCCCCAAAGCAUUUGGUGUAACUCUGAUGGAGGCCCUCUGCCGAGAUUUCAGAAAUAGUGGCUUCAAUUACGACUUCUAAUUCAAAGCCCUAUAAAGAGGCUGUAUUUGGACCGGAAGGAGAGGCAUUCCUCAAGUGAGUAAUAAAAUAAACUCUUAAUGGUUUGCAUUUCCUGUGUCAUUAUUUACUUUAUCAAACUUGAAACCGGUACCAAGUAGAGCUUUAUGCCUCCCCCAUGCCAACCAAGACUCAGAACUGCUCAGUGCUUAAAGAAAGAGGAAAUGGGCCUAGACGAGGGAUCAGAAGGUCCUGAAUCUGAACGGCCACAGAUAAGCGAGCCUGGUGGAGUCUGGAGGGAGCUGCUCAUGGAAAACUCGUUCUAGUUGGCGACGGCAAAAUGCAUGCUGUUAUGUUUCCAAGAGGCAUGCAAAGGCGACCCUGCCCAGCCUUCCUACGUUUCAGGACACA